AUCCAAGCCUCAGUCUUCCAAGUCUAAGUCAUCCAAGCCUAAGUCUUCCAAGUCCAAGUCUUCCAAGUCCAAGUCUUUAAAGUCUAAGUCAUCUGCCCGAAGUGCUC
Molecule: non-coding RNA, 107 nt
Filed under: Skeletonema grethae
Lineage: Eukaryota; Bacillariophyta; Thalassiosirophyceae; Thalassiosirales; Thalassiosiraceae
Source: RNAcentral